UACGGAGGGUGCAAGCGGUGUCCGGAUUUAUUGGGUUUAAAGGGUGCGUAGGUGGCUUGUUAAGUCCGGGGUGAAAGCCCACAGCUCAACUGUGGAACUGCCCUGGAGACUGGCGAGCUUGAGUCCAGACGAGGUUGGCGGAAUGGAUGCUGUAGCGGUGAAAGGCAUAGAUAGCAUCCAGAACCCCGAUUGCGUAGGCAGCUGCCUAGGCUGGUACUGACACUGAGGCACGAAAGCGUGGGGAGCGAACAGG
This 253-nucleotide ribosomal RNA is filed under the name uncultured bacterium. RNAcentral's name for it is "partial 16S ribosomal RNA". It matches the Rfam family "Bacterial small subunit ribosomal RNA", at positions 524 to 776 of the family's 1533-position model. The record is from RNAcentral.